RNAcentral lists this small RNA (136 nucleotides) under Arabidopsis thaliana (thale cress). RNAcentral's name for it is "ATSL073940". Lineage: Eukaryota; Viridiplantae; Streptophyta; Magnoliopsida; Brassicales; Brassicaceae. The record is from RNAcentral.
AAAAAAAGAAGAGAGAGAGCGUAGAAAGUUUUUCAAGUGAGAAACUAUGAGAUACUCUCUACAAGCUAUCUUUACAUUUUUCUCCUUUCAAUUGGUUUAAUUUUUUAUUAAAAUAAAAAUUUAAUCAUAUAAUAAA